UACGGAGGGUGCAAGCGUUAUCCGGAUUUACUGGGUUUAAAGGGUGCGUAGGCGGCCUGAUAAGUCAGUGGUGAAAGCCCGCAGCUUAACUGCGGAACUGCCAUUGAAACUGCCAGGCUUGAGUACAGAUGAGGUGGGUGGAAUAUAUCAUGUAGCGGUGAAAUGCUUAGAUAUGAUAUAGAACCCCGAUUGCGAAGGCAGCUCACCAAUCUGUAACUGACGCUGAGGCACGAAAGCGUGGGGAGCAAACAGG
This 253-nucleotide ribosomal RNA is filed under the name uncultured bacterium. RNAcentral's name for it is "partial 16S ribosomal RNA". It matches the Rfam family "Bacterial small subunit ribosomal RNA", at positions 524 to 776 of the family's 1533-position model. The record is from RNAcentral.